GAUGAACGCUGGCGGCGUGCCUAAUACAUGCAAGUCGAGCGAACGGACGAGAAGCUUGCUUCUCUGAUGUUAGCGGCGGACGGGUGAGUAACACGUGGAUAACCUACCUAUAAGACUGGGAUAACUUCGGGAAACCGGAGCUAAUACCGGAUAAUAUUUUGAACCGCAUGGUUCCAAAGUGAAAGACGGUCUUGCUGUCACUUAUAGAUGGAUCCGCGCUGCAUUAGCUAGUUGGUAAGGUAACGGCUUACCAAGGCAACCAUGCAUAGCCGACCUGAGAGUGUGAUCAGCCACACUGGAACUGAGACACGGUACAGACGCCUACGGGAGGCAGCAGUAGGGAAGCUUCCGCAAUGAGCGAAAGCCUGACGAAGCAACGCCGCGUGGGUGAUGAAGGUCUUCGGAUCGUAAAACUCUGUUAUUAGGGAAGAACAUAUGUGUAAGUAACUGUGCACAUCUUGACGGUACCUAAUCAGAAAGCCACGGCUAACUACGUG
This 497-nucleotide ribosomal RNA is filed under the name uncultured bacterium. RNAcentral's name for it is "partial 16S ribosomal RNA". It matches the Rfam family "Bacterial small subunit ribosomal RNA", at positions 28 to 507 of the family's 1533-position model. The record is from RNAcentral.